UGCUUAACACAUGCAAGUCGAACGGAAAGGCCCAAGCUUGCUUGGGUACUCGAGUGGCGAACGGGUGAGUAACACGUGGGUGAUCUGCCCUGCACUUCGGGAUAAGCCUGGGAAACUGGGUCUAAUACCGGAUAGGACGAUGGUUUGGAUGCCAUUGUGGAAAGUUUUUUCGGUGUGGGAUGAGCUCGCGGCCUAUCAGCUUGUUGGUGGGGUAAUGGCCUACCAAGGCGUCGACGGGUAGCCGGCCUGAGAGGGUGUACGGCCACAUUGGGACUGAGAUACGGCCCAGACUCCUACGGGAGGCAGCAGUGGGGAAUAUUGCACAAUGGGCGCAAGCCUGAUGCAGCGACGCCGCGUGGGGGAUGACGGCCUUCGGGUUGUAAACUCCUUUCGCUAGGGACGAAGCGUUUUUGUGACGGUACCUGGAGAAGAAGCACCGGCUAACUACGUGCCAGCAGCCGCGGUAAUACGUAGGGUGCGAGCGUUGUCCGGAAUUACUGGGCGUAAAGAGCUCGUAGGUGGUUUGUCGCGUCGUUUGUGUAAGCCCGCAGCUUAACUGCGGGACUGCAGGCGAUACGGGCAUAACUUGAGUGCUGUAGGGGAGACUGGAAUUCCUGGUGUAGCGGUGGAAUGCGCAGAUAUCAGGAGGAACACCGAUGGCGAAGGCAGGUCUCUGGGCAGUAACUGACGCUGAGGAGCGAAAGCAUGGGUAGCGAACAGGAUUAGAUAC
RNAcentral lists this ribosomal RNA (730 nucleotides) under Corynebacterium mucifaciens. RNAcentral's name for it is "bacterial SSU rRNA". It matches the Rfam family "Bacterial small subunit ribosomal RNA", at positions 45 to 785 of the family's 1533-position model. The record is from RNAcentral. Lineage: Bacteria; Bacillati; Actinomycetota; Actinomycetes; Mycobacteriales; Corynebacteriaceae.